RNAcentral lists this small RNA (128 nucleotides) under uncultured Klebsiella sp. RNAcentral describes it as "istR Hfq binding RNA". It matches the Rfam family "istR Hfq binding RNA". The record is from RNAcentral. Lineage: Bacteria; Pseudomonadati; Pseudomonadota; Gammaproteobacteria; Enterobacterales; Enterobacteriaceae.
GAAAAAACGGCCUUAAAUUGCGCGUUCUGCUGCGAUCGCGUAUACUUUUGUCGUUGACGUAAUACAGUGUGCUUGCGGUUACCACCCGUAAAAACACCGAUCAAAACCUCGCUGCGGCGGGGUUUUUU